ACUCAGACAUUUGGAGUGCUAUCAUCAACUUCAUCUCCCACAACCCAUGAGAUUUGAGUUAAAUAACAACAUUACAUUU
Molecule: small nucleolar RNA, 79 nt
Organism: Hevea brasiliensis (rubber tree)
Lineage: Eukaryota; Viridiplantae; Streptophyta; Magnoliopsida; Malpighiales; Euphorbiaceae
Product: small nucleolar RNA snoR97
Exons: 1
Source: RefSeq, a predicted model, not a curated record